This 303-nucleotide ribosomal RNA is filed under the name uncultured bacterium. RNAcentral describes it as "partial 16S ribosomal RNA". It matches the Rfam family "Bacterial small subunit ribosomal RNA", at positions 507 to 807 of the family's 1533-position model. The record is from RNAcentral.
AGCAGUCGCCGCGGUAAUACGUAGGUGGCAAGCGUUGUCCGGAAUUAUUGGGCGUAAAGGGCUCGCAGGCGGUUUCUUAAGUCUGAUGUGAAAGCCCCCGGCUCAACCAGGGAGGGUCAUUGGAAACUGGGAAACUUGAGUGCAGAAGAGGAGAGUGGAAUUCCACGUGUAGCGGUGAAAUGCGUAGAGAUGUGGAGGAACACCAGUGGCGAAGGCGACUCUCUGGUCUGUAACUGACGCUGAGGAGCGAAAGCGUGGGGAGCGAGCAGGAUUAGAUACCCGAGUAGUCCCUGUCUCUUAUAC